This 98-nucleotide microRNA precursor is filed under the name Equus caballus (horse). RNAcentral describes it as "mir-544 microRNA precursor family". It matches the Rfam family "mir-544 microRNA precursor family". The record is from Rfam by way of RNAcentral. Lineage: Eukaryota; Metazoa; Chordata; Mammalia; Perissodactyla; Equidae.
AUCACCUGGGAAUCUUGUUAAAGUGCAGAUUCUGAUUCAGUUGGUCUGGGGUGGGGCCUGAGAUUGGGCAUUUCUAAUGAGUUCCCAGGUGAGGCUGA